UUAGCCCCCUAGAGUUUGGAUCCUGGCUCAGGAUGAACGCUGGCGGCGUGCCUAAUACAUGCAAGUCGAGCGCAAAGAUCAGGAGCUUGCUCCUGUGAUUUGAGCGGCGGACGGGUGAGUAACACGUAGGCAACCUACCCUUGAGAUUGGGAUAACUACCGGAAACGGUAGCUAAUACCGGAUACGACCUUUCCACAUAAGUGGAAUUGUUAAAAGGCGGAUUUAUCUGCCGCUCAUGGAUGGGCCUGCGGUGCAUUAGCUAGUUGGUGAGAUAGUAGCUCACCAAGGCGACGAUGCAUAGCCGACCUGAGAGGGUGAUCGGCCACACUGGGACUGAGACACGGCCCAGACUCCUACGGGAGGCAGCAGUAGGGAAUCUUCCGCAAUGGACGAAAGUCUGACGGAGCAACGCCGCGUGAGUGAUGAAGGGUUUCGGCUCGUAAAACUCUGUUGUUAAGGAAGAAUACUUGAGGUAGUAACUGGCCUUGAGAUGACGGUACUUAACCAGAAAGCCACGGCUAACUACGUGCCAGCAGCCGCGGUAAUACGUAGGUGGCAAGCGUUAUCCGGAAUUAUUGGGCGUAAAGCGCGCGUAGGCGGUAAAAUAAGUCUGAUGUGAAAGCCCCCGGCUCAACCGGGGAGGGUCAUUGGAAACUGUUUUACUUGAGUACAGAAGAGGAGAGUGGAAUUCCAUGUGUAGCGGUGAAAUGCGCAGAGAUAUGGAGGAACACCAGUGGCGAAGGCGGCUCUCUGGUCUGUUACUGACGCUGAGGUGCGAAAGCGUGGGGAUCAAACAGGAUUAGAUACCCUGGUAGUCCACGCCGUAAACGAUGAGUGCUAAGUGUUGGGGGGUUUCCGCCCCUCAGUGCUGCAGCUAACGCAUUAAGCACUC
This 892-nucleotide ribosomal RNA is filed under the name Jeotgalicoccus sp. YIM KMY9-1. Its description in RNAcentral is "bacterial SSU rRNA". It matches the Rfam family "Bacterial small subunit ribosomal RNA", at positions 1 to 869 of the family's 1533-position model. The record is from RNAcentral. Lineage: Bacteria; Bacillati; Bacillota; Bacilli; Caryophanales; Staphylococcaceae.